RNAcentral lists this ribosomal RNA (492 nucleotides) under uncultured bacterium. RNAcentral describes it as "partial 16S ribosomal RNA". It matches the Rfam family "Bacterial small subunit ribosomal RNA", at positions 29 to 507 of the family's 1533-position model. The record is from RNAcentral.
AGUGAACGCUGGCGGUAGGCCUAACACAUGCAAGUCGAACGGCAGCACAGUAAGAGCUUGCUCUUACGGGUGGCGAGUGGCGGACGGGUGAGGAAUACAUCGGAAUCUACUUUUUCGUGGGGGAUAACGUAGGGAAACUUACGCUAAUACCGCAUACGACCUACGGGUGAAAGCAGGGAAUCUUCGGACCUUGCGCGAUUGAAUGAGCCGAUGUCGGAUUAGCUAGUUGGCGGGGUAAAGGCCCACCAAGGCGACGAUCCGUAGCUGGUCUGAGAGGAUGAUCAGCCACACUGGAACUGAGACACGGUCCAGACUCCUACGGGAGGCAGCAGUGGGGACUAUUGGACAAUGGGCGCAAGCCUGAUCCAGCCAUACCGCGUGGGUGCAGAAGGCCUUCGGGUUGUAAAGCCCUUUUGUUGGGAAAGAAAAGCAGCAGGUUAAUACCCCGCUGUUAUGACGGUACCCGAAGAAUAAGCACCGGCUAACUUCGUG